UCCUUCUAGUCUCUCGCAAUGUUAUCUUUGAAGAAUCGAGUUAACGUACGUCCAGUAAAACAGUAUCUUCAUCAAAAGAUGACAUUUCUUGUUGAUAAAGCUGUUUCAAGAAAUUUUGUAAAUAAAUUUAGCAGCAUAGAACAUCGGUAACCACUACGCUGAGGAGGCUUUUGGUUGAGUUGGCGAUUUUAAUUAAAUUUCCCUUUUAUUUUGAUACUUACGCGUACGUAACGAGAUUCCAUGAUACCUCUUGACACACAUACCUUUAAACAGUAAUUAGUAAACGUACCAAAUGAAGUAACGAAACGAAAAAGAGGCUAUAAUGACUGGCGUCUCAUUUUGUCGCAGUGAAACUCAUCUACCUAUCUGUUUUAUCAAGGCCACCGAAGAAACAAGGCAAUUGGACCUAAAACCCAGCAAAGAUUAUUGCCCUUUAUCUAUCAGUAAUCAGAGGUAAAUCGAUGUUACUUCAGGGUACCAAGAAAAAUCAAGUAGACGAAACCUUUAGGACGUUUGACAUUCCAGAUCAGUGUGAUUUGGAAAGAAUUAAGGCAGGAUACCACUCCAACGACGUCUUGUGUAUUCGUUUUCCUUCAAGAAAUGAGCUGGUUGUUAAAGUAUGGACAAAUAAAAAUGUCAAAAGUUUUUGAUAAUUUAAUACCUAAAUGAAAAAAAUAAAAAAACUAAAAG
This 690-nucleotide unclassified non-coding RNA is filed under the name Copidosoma floridanum. RNAcentral's name for it is "uncharacterized LOC111643666, transcript variant X1". The record is from RNAcentral. Lineage: Eukaryota; Metazoa; Arthropoda; Insecta; Hymenoptera; Encyrtidae.